CCUACGGGUGGCAGCAGUGGGGAAUAUUGGGCAAUGGAGGCAACUCUGACCCAGCAACGCCGCGUGAAGGAAGAAGGCCUUAGGGUUGUAAACUUAUGUUGUAACGGAAGAAAAGAAUGACGGUACUUUACAAGAAAGCCCAGGCUAACUAUGUGCCAGCAGCCGCGGUAAGACAUAGGGCGCAAGCGUUGUUCGGAAUUAGUGGGUGUACAGGGAGCGUAGGCGGGAGGUUAAGUUAAGAGUGAAAGCCUUGGGCUCAACCCAAGAAAUGCUCUUAAUACUGGUUUUCUAGAGAGUUGGUGCGGUAAGUGGAAUUCAUAGUGUAGCGGUAGAAUGCGUAGAGAUCAUACAGAACA
Molecule: ribosomal RNA, 356 nt
Filed under: uncultured bacterium
Lineage: Bacteria
Description: partial 16S ribosomal RNA
Rfam family: Bacterial small subunit ribosomal RNA
Source: RNAcentral